Molecule: ribosomal RNA, 253 nt
Filed under: uncultured bacterium
Lineage: Bacteria
Description: partial 16S ribosomal RNA
Rfam family: Bacterial small subunit ribosomal RNA
Source: RNAcentral
UACAGAGGUCUCAACCGUUGUUCGGAUUCAUUGGGCGUAAAGGGUGCGUAGGCGGUCGCGCAAGUCGGAUGUGAAACCUCAGGGCUCAACCCUGAAACUGCAUUCGAUACUGCGUGGCUAGAGUGCUGGAGAGGAGACUGGAAUUUACGGUGUAGCAGUGAAAUGCGUAGAUAUCGUAAGGAAGACCAGUGGCGAAGGCGAGUCUCUGGACAGCAACUGACGCUGAGGCACGAAGGCCAGGGGAGCAAACGGG